UCGGGAAUUUUGGGCAAUGGGCGAAAGCCUGACCCAGCAACGCCGCGUGAGGGAUGAAGUAUUUCGGUAUGUAAACCUCGAAAGAAUGGGAAGAAUAAAUGACGGUACCAUUUAUAAGCUCCGGCUAACUACGUGCCAGCAGCCGCGGUAAUACGUAGGGAGCAAGCGUUGUUCGGAUUUACUGGGCGUAAAGGGCGCGUAGGCGGCGCGGUAAGUCACUUGUGAAAUCUCUGAGCUUAACUCAGAACGGCCACGUGAUACUGCUGUGCGAGAGUGCGGAAGAGGCAACCGGAAUUCUUGGUGUAGCGGUGAAAUGCGUAGAUAUCAAGAGGAACACCUGAGGCGAAGGCGGGUUGCUGGGCCGACACUGACGCUGAUGCGCGAAAG
This 387-nucleotide ribosomal RNA is filed under the name uncultured bacterium. RNAcentral's name for it is "bacterial SSU rRNA". It matches the Rfam family "Bacterial small subunit ribosomal RNA", at positions 355 to 759 of the family's 1533-position model. The record is from RNAcentral.